Non-coding RNA from Paramuricea clavata, 295 nucleotides. Lineage: Eukaryota; Metazoa; Cnidaria; Anthozoa; Malacalcyonacea; Plexauridae. The record is from the annotation of a GenBank genome assembly.
GCCUGGCUUCCGAGUUUCGUCAAUCGUCAUCCAAAUUUCCACGUGUAUCGAAUGUGGUUACUAGUAAUAUAUGGUGUAUUUAAUUUGGCACGUUUCAUUGUUUUAGCACUUAAAAGAUUCCAUAAUUUGCUUAGGUUUUGUGAAAUCAAAUUAAUCAUGUCAUUUUUUCAUUAUGCAACAUAUAAAUAUGUUACAAUACGUGACUCAAGGCUUGGAGUUGGGUAUUACUUAACAGCUGCUCUUAUUAUCACUUUCACAAUGGCAGAAGUAUUUAUAAGCAAAGGUUAUUUAGAGG